GACUAGCUCAGUUGGUAGAGCAAAGAGACUCUUGAUCUCAGGGUUGUGGGUUUGAGCCCCAUGUUGGACA
Molecule: non-coding RNA, 70 nt
Organism: Podarcis lilfordi (Lilford's wall lizard)
Lineage: Eukaryota; Metazoa; Chordata; Lepidosauria; Squamata; Lacertidae
Source: the annotation of a GenBank genome assembly